This is a long non-coding RNA of Grammomys surdaster, 2091 nucleotides long. RefSeq lists it as uncharacterized. The transcript is spliced from 3 exons. The record is from RefSeq and is a predicted model, not a curated record. NCBI's taxonomy places the organism in Eukaryota, Metazoa, Chordata, Mammalia, Rodentia, Muridae.
CCGGAGGACGCACAGCUGGCACCGCUGGACUACUUACCUGUGGUUUCUGGGGCUGGAAGAGACGCUUCCUCUCGGAAGGGUGUCCCAGGGCUAGGGCAGAGGAAGGGGUGGCGCAGGGAAAGCAAGAGAUGCCUGGUGGCUGGACUCGGGGAGUUCCGAGGAGUUUGGACCGCAGCGCCAGCUCGGAACACGGAGGAAGACUUACCCACACCUCAUCCUGCCGCAGUCCUCCUCUUGGGACAGCCUGCGCCCCGCCCACGUCUGCAGGGUGGUGCUGUAGGGCGUGGCUCUGCCUACACCAGGGGCUGCUGGGGGACUCCAAACGGUCUGGCCUGGUAGGGACAGGGAGAGCAGAGACUUGAGUGACCGUGACUGAGUCCGCCCCGGCGGUACCCAAGCUAUAGGCCACUUCCGAGAGCUGGCGGAGUGGGCGCAGGCCUCCGGCAAGAAGUUUGUUGAAGCUGCAGGAUCCGAGAGUGGCGCCAGAAGUCUGAGCUCUCCUCACCUCUCCCACCGAGAAAUCCACACCCCUGGCGCCACCGAAGAUCCAGUUGCGGGGUCCGUCUCUCCUGGGACAGGUCGGCCGGCUUCUAGGCUCAGGCUAAGGACAAAGCUUAAAGUCCUGGUCCGCAUCUUUCAACCAGGUCUCCUUGUCUAGACAAGUCCUUGCUGUCACCUUCAGUGCUCAAGUAGCUGAGUGUGAAGCACAGAACCAGACUGGCGGACGGACACUGUACUGUGAAACGACACGAACCUUCAGCCAUCAACUGUCCUCAUCAGGUAGAAAUAGCAAACCCAGAGGCUAAAAAGUAUGGCGACAAUCUCCCAGAAAAUGAAGCAAAAACAGAGUGCAGGUGAACGUGAGGAGGUUACGAGCCGGUCAGCUCAAGCAGCAACAGCAGCGUGCGUGGGCAGGAAGAAAAACAACACCACGGUAAAACAGUGUGUGUGGAGUGAUUGAACACAGUCUUCUGGAGUGAGAGCUUUCUGACGUACCUGAUCUAUACCAAAGAAAGAGAACACGCAUUCUAAGGCUGACUGCAAAGGUUUAGAAACCAAGAGGGAUAAAGGGAAGAUUCGACAAGCUAUUUCCUUAAUUAUGUUUUCUGAACAAUAUAAUGUUUUUUUAAGUUAGGCACCACUUGGGUAAAAGUAGCUAAAAUGCAAUCUAGUAUUAGGAUCCAUUAGUUACAGAGCCCCAUUAGAAAAAUAAAAUAGAACCCACUACAGUUCAAUAUGUAUUUGAGAUUUUGUUCUGUUCAAAGUAUCAUAAUUGAGGUUUUUAACAUGCACAGCCCCUGGGGAGCUCUUUCCCAGCCAGCAGCUCAUGUACCCCAGGCCUGCCUUGCAGCCAAGGAUGGCCCUGGACUUCAGCUCCUCCUGUCCCCACUUCUGCAGUGGCACAGAACACGCCACCUCGCCCAGUUUCUGUGGUGUGGGGAGGGAAGCCAGGGCUUUGUACAUACUAGGCAAGCACUCUGUCAACUGACCCACAUCCCUGGGAAACUUCAAACAUGGAUAAUCCAGACAAGUAAAUCAGGAGCCUGGGUGUGGGACGCAGGAAGCUGUCGCUCUGCAGGUAGAUCUAACACCCAAGCUGAGUCACAUGACAGCAAGAGGCCAGCAAAGAGAAAAGUUAAAACCCCAGCCCUUAUACUUAAGCUCGCAAGAGACGAUUACAGCGUACCUGACAGGGUGAACUGAACAUCUCAAGAAAGGGCUCAAAGAUUUCCUGUAGAGAUUCACUGUCCAAUACGGUAGCCACCACACAUAUGUGCUUAUUAAAACUUAUGUUAACUAAAACAAAUUAAAAUUCAGUUUCUCAGUCUAGCUAGCUAUAAUUCAGGCUGGGCAUACAGCUCAGUCGUAAACUGCUUGUUCGGCAUGCAUAUAUACCCUGUGUGCCGUGCCCAGUACUGUAAGAGGAAAAAAGGUCUGUGUGUUGUUGGUGGCUACCCUACAACAACCACACCAUGGCGAGCACAAAAGGCAUUUCGAUCACAAGGGGGACUAAUGGCUAAUGCUGAGUCAGAGACACCCAGAAGGAGAAGAUAUUCACAAGACGGCUAAACUAUAAAGAUGUCCAUAGAA